GGGCGUGUAGUUCAGUGGUAGAACGCUGUCCUGAUAAGACAGAGGUCGUAGGUCCGAUUCCUACCACGCCCACCA
Molecule: transfer RNA, 75 nt
Filed under: Anaplasmataceae bacterium
Lineage: Bacteria; Pseudomonadati; Pseudomonadota; Alphaproteobacteria; Rickettsiales; Anaplasmataceae
Description: tRNA-Ile
Rfam family: tRNA
About the family: Transfer RNA (tRNA) molecules are approximately 80 nucleotides in length.
Source: RNAcentral